AAAUGGAUUAUGCUGAGGAACAUAACGAAAUAAUAGAAACGAUACAGGCCAAUGGGGAGCAAUAGGGACUGUAAUUGAAGCAAAUUACCAAAACAUACAGCUGAUGGAAGCUUUUCCACCUAAUAGGACUAAUUGUUCUUGACAAACCUUAUCACAAUUAUAAGAAGUCUAAAGCCAAUUUGCGAAACUCGUACUGGCUAUUAGUGAUCAUUCAAGUCCACAACAGUGGACCCCAAAAAGUAAUCAUUCAGCAAUGAAUUUGUCCUAAGUAUGAGGAACGGGUAACAAGAAUCCAGUUCGCCAUACAAGCCUACGAUAAGACAUAUCUGCAUGGAGAUCACAAAACUAAAAUCAUGCUGGUCCUACAUUUUUUCUUUCUCUCUCCAGUUAGUAUGAUAACACAAUUGAUGUUACAAUAUCGGAUACGCAAAAUUUAGAAGAUGUAACAUCAGAUCAUGGAUGGUUAUACUUGCAAAGUCGAUCAAUGAGAAGAAUUCACAGUAGAGACUUCAGGGUAAGUAAAGACGGAUUAGAAGCAUAAGUUCUCUAACAUUAACUUAUAUAACAUCUUCAAUUAAAUCAAAAGUCGGAUGACUCCGCCUUGUCACCCCAAAUAACAGUUACCAGUCUACGCAUGUAUGCAUCCGGAUUCUUUGAAUGAAAUUAGUCCCUAGCAGCAGAGAUUACUUUCUGAGGAAUGCUUUUAUUUCAGAUAGAAGGUUGAUAUCCUUACUUUUGACCAAAUGGUCAUGUCACUCAAUUCAACUGAUUUUAUUUUCCUUGUGCUAAAUUUCAUCGAAUGACCAAAAUUCUAAGCCAUAAGGCAUAAAAGCCAAGUUAGUAUGACGCGAUAUCAAGGACUUUCUCUCUUAACAUAGGUCUGCAAGCAUGGCAAAAUAUUUUCCAAGAGAUUCUUGCUACACCAAGAUCAAAGAUAACAUAAAACUAAUAAUUGCUGCUGCAGCAUCUAUAUAAUCAUUCUAAUCUUUUAUGAUUAACAGCUACACAAUUAUUUAUGAACUAAAAAGUCACAUUUUCGUUUUCCAAAAGAAACCCAUCAAUAAAAUGAUCAUCCCAAGGGUGUUUAUCUCUCUGUAAUAAAAAUUAACAAAUAAGCUAUCGUCCCUUUUAAAUUUGAUUUAAACAGUUUUAACAGUUUUCAUUCUAAAGAAAUUCUAACGAGAAAGUCUUACAAACUCUAUACUUGUUUAACAUAAUUUAUAAAGCAAUUAAGAGUAUUUAAUCAUAUAUAUUAGGAUCUCUUCAAUGUUCAAUACUUUAAAGGAAAGGGCUUUUUCUUUCAUUGAUGCACACAAAUACAACAAUAUAUGUAAGUGAAUGCUUAUAAAUGUAGUCAAGAUCUUCUCUAAAAGUUUCGCACUUUCAAAAAUGCAUUUUGCUUUUUAAUAUGUUUUAUGAUGUUUACAGUGGAGUUUCAGGUUUAUUAUCAAUUCAAAUGAUUAAGAUUUCUGCAGCACUAGCCUGCCUUUGGCAAUAUAUAUUCAAAUUCUCUCAGCUCAGGUCUGCGUCAUUAUAAUUGAAAAAAAGAUCAUUUACAGUGAUUCACUUUAGCUUUAACAUAGAGAGAUCAAAAGGAAACUACUUACACAUUAUUUGAUAGAAGCAAAACAACUUCAUGAAUUUGCAACUGAUCAUGGUAACAUGCAAUCAACUGAAGUAUUAUUAGUGUUGACUCUUACAGCAAUUAAUCAGUCAAGGUUGGCAAAUAAAUGAAUAAUACAAAACUUAGAAGAGAAGACGCUCACUUCAUCCAGCAUUCAAUGCCAAUGUGCCUGAUCGCAUGACAGUGUAUUGAGCAACCUGAUUAAAAUUUUUCAUCAUGAUAUAAAGCAUUAAAAGCUAAUGACUCCAGUGUACUAGUAACUACACCUCAUAUUCAAGACUGAACCAGAAGAGAAGCAAUAUAGUCCAACUGUCAUUGCUAGUAAUGUCUUCUUGGAAGCUAAUCUUUUGAGACGCAAACACCUAUGGCAGUUGGUAUAUGAGCAGUUUUGAGAGACCAGAUCCAAUCAAGCAAAGAAAGUGAAACCUUACAUCAAAGGAAACAACUAAAGGCACUUCCUCUCCAAAUGGACCAACAUCAUCCCUUUACAUCUCCUACAAUUUAAAAGAGAGAGGACUUCUUUCCUUCCCUGCAUACUGAGCAUAAUAAGAACACUGCAAGUUCAAAGCUGAUAGAAUAUUGGACUUAAAAUUCAGAUAUUAUAAAUUCUAAAGAGUGCUCUAUCUUUGCUAUACCAAACAGCAUCAUAAUUAUUCAAAGUAGUUAGUGAAGUGCAAAGGGAGGACAAGUAUCUAUGUCAUUCAUACUCAUUUAAAGUACACAGGUUUUAAUAUUACAUCCACUUCCAAAGUUCAAGCUCCUUCUGAUCUUUUAAUUUGAUGGAAACCAAAUAAGUGAAGUGAAAAGUUGGCUAUUGGGAACCCAAAAUAGCAAUAAAGGAUUCAAUGGGAUUCUGUUGCGGGCCCGAGUCUGGGAUCAAGUCACCAAACGAGUAGCACAAAAAUCAGAUUCGAACGAAGGGUCUUUGCCCUUAUUUCGAUUCCUAUUUUUUCCUGUGGUUAUUGAACUCUUAAGGGAGUUGCCUACCUUGAAACUCUAAGCGAGUUGCCUACCUUAAACUUACUGAAACUUUCAACUUUCAACUUGUAAUAUUCAUGAAUUAUUUUCCUAUUUAAACAGAGUUUAAAAAUUAGGUAAUAGAUGCCAAGCCCAAAUCUGAUAGCAUACUGGGAAAGUCUUAUUUAAACUAAUAAGGAAAUUCUUAAAAAUAAAAUCAGAAUUAAAUCCCACAAAACUAGAAUCACAUCACAAUGAAAUCAAAAUCAGAACCCUUUUCCUACUGCUGGUUUCUUGCGUCUGGCAUAGUUCUUCGCCACAAAGGCAUCGGUAACAGAUUCUGUAUUACAUUUCUGUUCAACUCCUUUUGUAACCAGCAAAAUCUAACAUUCCAUAUAGUUCCAAUGAUAAAUUGGUAGUAUAUUUAUAUUUCUAACUUCUGGGCACCUAAUUUACAAAAUGAUUAGAACUUCAGAUACAAAACUAAUCAACAUAUCACGGAUGGACAUUUUCUCCUUUGCAAAAUAAAACAUGCGAUAUUGCCUCACACCCACACACACACACAGAGAAGGAAUAAAAGCUGAAUAUGCAAACUAAAAACCGAACUGACAUGUAAUGGCUGGGAUCUGUCGCACUUGCAAAUACAGACCAAUAAAUAUGGUUGAAACAAUGACUCAAAAUGGCACUUUUAGAAUAAAUUUGCUGACUGAGAGCUCUAAUAAACACAAAAUCAUAUCUAUCUCAAGCAACAGAAAACGUAAACGAACAACUAAAUCCAUUGAUGUUUGGAUCACUCACAAGUUCUAGAUGUUCAAUCCUAGUUUCUAGCUUGGAUGCAAUAACAUGCACUUGAAGCCACUCAAAAACUUCAAGUUCACCUUGUCUCCUUUCCUAAAUCAUUUUACAUGUUCUAUCCGUACAUAUUAUAGACUGAGAAAUCUGUCAAAAGAUAGCCUUAAUGGUUAGCCUUGCAACGAAACAAGCAUCCUUCACCUAGAAUACCGAGCACCAUGAAGAUUAAUACCUCAAUCGAGGCCAGCCUAGAUGAUAUGUAACAGGUCCCAGUUUGGACCGUCCUUAAUCAACGAAAUUUAAAAACAUUUAUCAACCAACCUGUUUUAGGUAAUCAUCUAAAAGCACUAUAACAUGAUCAUCCUGCCCAGUAUCGAGAAUGAAAAUAUGCACUGCUUUAUGCUUCCUCCCUCCUUAGAGACUGCAAAAAAUGAGAACAUAUUACAAAAAUCACAUGGGACUAAGUAAAAAGUUAUCCUACAUAAAUGCAGGGGAAACCACAAGCGACUGAGCAAAGUCAUUGAAUAUGUAAAUGCAGGGGAAAAAGUAGCAAGAAAUUUUCCAAUCAAAUAAACCCCUAACAAGCAAUAACAUUUACAUGCUCACUUCAAAAGAACUAGACACUUACCAUCCAGAUAGUUAGGAUCUUGAUUAUUAUGUUCAGCGAAACAUUACCCAGAUAUGAACUUACAUUUGAAACAAGAAUACUCAACUAGCUAUAGUAUUCGAGGUUUCAGCGUAAAAUACACAAGCAUAACAUGCAAAGAAACUCAACAACAACAUUUAAUUCAAAAAGGUUGAGGAACCAAAGCUGGAGCUAUUCAAUUGAGACUACAAAGAAAGGUUGAAUUGCGACCUUGAAACAGAACCAAAUCAAAUGAAAGGAUUUUAGUUUUAUAGCUUUAAACAAAGUUUAUAUAAAAAGCAUUUAAACAACAAAAGAGGCUUGUUAUUUAACUCAAAUUUAAGAAGCAGAGAGGUAACCAUAUCAGCAAAUUUUGUAGUAAUUGUUUGAAUGUCAGGGUUUUUUCUUUUAUUGCACCGAGAGAAAAUGAACGAUCAGCAUCGCCACUGUUGGCCUCGAACUUUUCUUCUGCUGGUUCCCUAAUGCUUUCUGUUUUUAAGUUUCACCCGUACACGUGUAAAGAAGCUAAGUUCAUAUAACAAAAUUACAACCAGGAUGAAUGGGUAAGAAUAUCAGUGACAUUAAAUAUUUUAGUGUGAAAUAAAAAGUAAUUUAAGAUUUUAUAUAUUUC
RNAcentral lists this long non-coding RNA (4629 nucleotides) under Gossypium barbadense (sea-island cotton). RNAcentral describes it as "long non-coding RNA (GBAR_LNC006726)". The record is from RNAcentral. Lineage: Eukaryota; Viridiplantae; Streptophyta; Magnoliopsida; Malvales; Malvaceae.